CAAGUCGAGGGGCAUCAGUUUGGUUUGCUUGCAAACCAAAGCUGGCGACCGGCGCACGGGUGAGUAACACGUAUCCAACCUGCCUCAUACUCGGGGAUAGCCUUUCGAAAGAAAGAUUAAUAUCCGAUAGCAUAUAUUUCCCGCAUGGGUUUUAUAUUAAAGAAAUUCGGUAUGAGAUGGGGAUGCGUUCCAUUAGGUAGUAGGCGGGUAACGGCCCACCUAGCCGACGAUGGAUAGGGGUUCUGAGAGGAAGGUCCCCACAUUGGAACUGAGACACGGUCCAAACUCC
Molecule: ribosomal RNA, 289 nt
Filed under: uncultured Bacteroides sp.
Lineage: Bacteria; Pseudomonadati; Bacteroidota; Bacteroidia; Bacteroidales; Bacteroidaceae
Description: partial 16S ribosomal RNA
Rfam family: Bacterial small subunit ribosomal RNA
Source: RNAcentral